This 145-nucleotide microRNA precursor is filed under the name Gossypium arboreum. RNAcentral describes it as "MIR7502 microRNA precursor family". It matches the Rfam family "MIR7502 microRNA precursor family". Lineage: Eukaryota; Viridiplantae; Streptophyta; Magnoliopsida; Malvales; Malvaceae. The record is from Rfam by way of RNAcentral.
UGUUAAACAUUUCAUCCAUUCUACUGUUAAAAACUAACGUGACUGACGAAAUAACUAGAUAGUUACACGUGACAUGCCAUUUGUACCUUAUGCUUACAUAUAUAGACUAGUUUUUUUAAAAUAAAAAUGAACGAAAUUGUUAACA